Molecule: ribosomal RNA, 676 nt
Filed under: uncultured bacterium
Lineage: Bacteria
Description: bacterial SSU rRNA
Rfam family: Bacterial small subunit ribosomal RNA
Source: RNAcentral
AGAGUUUGAUCCUGGCUCAGGACGAACGCUGGCGGUGUGCUUCACACAUGCAAGUCGAGCGAAUGAAGAAGGUAGCUUGCUACUUUUGGAUUUAGCGGCGGACGGGUGAGUAAUAUAUAGGAAUCUGCCCUAGAGCGGGGAACAACAGACCGAAAGGUUUGCUAAUGCCCCAUAGGUACGCAGUCUUCGGAUUGUUUAUUAAAGGAGUAAUCCACUCUAGGAUGAGCCUGUAUCCGAUUAGCUAGUUGGCAGGGUAAAGGCCCACCAAGGCUACGAUCGGUAGUUGGUCUGAGAGGAUGAUCAGCCACAAUGGGACUGAGACACGGCCCAUACUCCUACGGGAGGCAGCAGUGGGGAAUUUUACACAAUGGGGGAAACCCUGAUGUAGCGACACCGCGUGAACGAAGAAGCCUUUUGGGGUGUAAAGUUCUGUCGGCUGGAACGAAAAAAAUGACGGUACCAGCAAAGGAAGCAUCGGCUAACUACGUGCCAGCAGCCGCGGUAAGACGUAGGAUGCAAGCGUUGUCCGGAUUUAUUGGGCGUAAAGAGUUCGUAGGCGGUUAUUUAAGUCUGGUGUUAAAUACUGUGGCCCAACCACAGAACUGCAUUGGAUACUGGAUGACUUGAGUGCGGUAGAGGCGAGUGGAAUUCCCAGUGUAGCGGUGAAAUGCGUAGA